UCCGCGGAGGGUAAGUCAGGACCUAAGGCGAGGCUGAAAAGCGUAGUCGAUGGGAAGCAGGUAAAUAUUCCUGCACCAGCUGGAAGUGACGGAUGGCAUAACUUGUACAGGCUUAUUGGAUUGCUCUGUGCAGGGGCGUUGUCCCUGGAAAUAACUCCAGCAGAGACCGUACCCGAAACCGACACAGGUGGUCAGGUAGAGUAUACCAAGGCGCUUGAGAGAACUAUGCUGAAGGAACUCGGCAAAUUGCACGCGUAACUUCGGGAUAAGCGUGACUCU
Molecule: ribosomal RNA, 279 nt
Filed under: uncultured Dinobryon
Lineage: Eukaryota; Chrysophyceae; Chromulinales
Description: partial Bacterial large subunit ribosomal RNA
Rfam family: Bacterial large subunit ribosomal RNA
Source: RNAcentral